This 805-nucleotide long non-coding RNA is filed under the name Pan troglodytes (chimpanzee). RNAcentral describes it as "long non-coding RNA NONPTRT006066". Lineage: Eukaryota; Metazoa; Chordata; Mammalia; Primates; Hominidae. The record is from RNAcentral.
CUGGUAUUUGCUGGAUGACCAUGAACUAACCAUUCAAUUUCUUGAGACUUGGGUUUCUCGUCUGUAAAAUGAACAUAUGCAAAUCUAUCCUACAAACUGUGUUUUGUGGAUUGAAUGAGAUGAUGCACGCCCACCCAGUGCCUUGAUCAACCUUAAAGUGCUGCACAAGUGUGAGGGGAGAUGGAUCCUUGAAGAAGACAGACAAGCAGAGGGGAAAGAUCUUGGAAGAGUUUCACAAUAUGCUGAACUUUAUUCCUGGAUCAGAUACAGAGCUGUCCGGGUGUCCACAGGGCCAGGGCUGUUGCAGAUAUAACUGGUGAAGUUGAGGUCAUGCUGGAGUAGGAUGGGCCUUGAAUCCAAUAGGACCGGUGUCGUUAUAAGAGAGGAGAUGGACACAUGAAGACAGAGACAUACGGGGAUCAGACAGUCAUGGGCGGUGGAGGAAGAGAGUGCGGCGACGCAUCUCGGAGCCACAGGACACCUAGAAUGGCCGGCAGCCGGUGGGAGCCGGGAGAGGCAAGGACGGAUCCUCUCCUCCCGGCUUCAGAGGGAGCCCGGCCCUGACCACACCUCGAUCUCAGACUCUGACCUCCAGAACUGCGAGAGAAGAAAUCUCAGUUGUUUUAAUGUAUGCAGCUUGUGGCACUUUGUGACAGCAGAUACAGCAGUACUGUGACAACACUAGGAAACGAAUACACCACCCCAGCAUCUCCGCUCUGUUUUCCAUACAGAAUUGAACUAAGGACCAGGCAAGCUAAUGCAAGUCCAAACACUGUAAAAACUUUGGAGGCAAUCUAAGGAUGUG